GCACAAAGUAGACACUGAAACGGCCUGUAUGAUCCCCCCCCGGUGUUGAAUCUGUGGAGGAACAGGUAGAAGGGCCCCCACAGAGCAUCAGUCCCUUUAAUAAGGGGUUUGUUUUCCGGUUCUGUUCCGCGGGGCUUUCCUGAUUCGGGCGGGGACCCCGGGGGGACACUACAAACUCCCGCGUAACUUUGCAGUCGGAGUAAACCUAAUUAAUAAAUUAAAACUUUUAACAACGGAUCUCUUGGUUCUGGCAUCGAUGAAGAACGCAGCGAAAUGCGAUAAGUAAUGUGAAUUGCAGAAUUCAGUGAAUCAUCGAAUCUUUGAACGCACAUUGCGCCCCUGGUAUUCCGGGGGGCAUGCCUGUUCGAGCGUCAUUUCACCACUCAAGCCUCGCUUGGUAUUGGCACGGUCCGCCGCGUGCCUCAAAUCGACCGGCUGGGUCUUCUGUCCCCUAAGCGUUGUGGAAACUAUUCGCUAAAGGGUGCUCGGGCUACGCCGUAAAACAACCCCAUUCCUAAGGUGGACCUCGGAUCAGGUAGGAACCCGCGACUA
This 552-nucleotide ribosomal RNA is filed under the name Cladosporium sp. TC-30. RNAcentral's name for it is "eukaryotic LSU rRNA". The stretch from base 222 to 374 matches the Rfam family "5.8S ribosomal RNA". Lineage: Eukaryota; Fungi; Ascomycota; Dothideomycetes; Cladosporiales; Cladosporiaceae. The record is from RNAcentral.